Clarias gariepinus (North African catfish) is the source of this 788-nucleotide non-coding RNA. Lineage: Eukaryota; Metazoa; Chordata; Actinopteri; Siluriformes; Clariidae. The record is from the annotation of a RefSeq genome assembly.
AGCUUCUAGUAUAAAUUCAAUCCAUGCUUCAACCCGCAUUCAUAUUCUGUUGAUAAAUGAGAUGCACACACUGUAAGAUUUCUGACAAAUACAAAAAUGACAAAAUUAUGGAUUUUAAUUUUGAUCUUCAGCACCAUGUAUCCAGUCCAACCUGGUAGACGCUGGGUUACUGCCCAAUCCCUCACAGAGUCACCAGUUUAUCAGCCUGAUGAAGAGCUCAGUGUGGAUAUCGGAACCUCGGCUACUCUCCGGUGUUGUAUUUCUGAAAAUACAAUUGGGAUAAUUGCCUGGUUUAAACAACCAAACAAACAAAAACUUCGGAUUAUGGUCAGAAUAUUUAAAAGUACUGGAGAAACAUUUUAUGAUGGAUUCCAAAAAUCAGAUUUUCAUAUUCAAAGAUUUUCAAACUGCUUCAAUAUGACCAUUUUAAAAACCACUCAGUCUGAUGAAGCCAUGUACUACUGUGCCCUGAUGGAAAUUAACCCUGUGUUUGCAGAUGGAACUUAUUUAAAAAUUAAAGGUGGGAUUUUCACUAAAAUUUAUUCAGCUACUGAAACAUCUGUACCAGAUCUGUGUGAUAAUUCAAUCGUGUUUAAACCAACACUGCAUGGAAACAGCACUAACAUGAAAACAGGUAAGAUGUCUCAUAAUUCACCAUUAAUUAAUUAAUCUUAAUUCAUAAUACUAAAAUGCAAGAUACAUAUAGAAAAUAAAUUUUUGAUACUCUAUAAUGCGGUGACAUUACAGUAUAACAGAAGUAACUCAGUCUUUUGUAUUCGACAGUGCUG